UUACUGAACUGUCGACACGAGUUGUUGCUGGUCCUCAAAUGGGGGGCAUGUGCACACUCUGUUUACACAUCCACUCACACCUGUGCACCCUCUGUAGUUCUGUGGUGUGGGGGACUCUGUCCUCCUGCUGUGGUUCUAUGUCUUUACACACACACUGUAAUAAAAGUCUCAUGGAAUGUAUACCGCGUUUAANGCAAUACAAUACAACUUUCAGCAACGGAUCUCUUGGCUCUCGCAUCGAUGAAGAACGCAGCGAAAUGCGAUAAGUAAUGUGAAUUGCAGAAUUCAGUGAAUCAUCGAAUCUUUGAACGCACCUUGCGCCCUUUGGCUAUUCCGAAGGGCAUGCCUGUUUGAGUAUCAUGAACACCUCAACUCUCAUGGUUUGCCGUGAUGAGCUUGGACUUUGGGGGUCUUGCUGGCCUAUGGUCAGCUCCUCUUAAAUGAAUCAGCUUGCCAGUGUUUGGUGGCAUCACAGGUGUGAUAACUAUCUACGCUUGUGGUUUUCCACCAGGUAACCUUCAGUAAUGGAGGUUCGCUGGGGCUCAUAAAGGUCUCUCCUCAGUGAGGACAGCUUUUGAACGUUUGAUCUCAAAUCAGGUAGGACUACCCGCUGAACUUAAGCAUAUCAAUAAG
RNAcentral lists this ribosomal RNA (633 nucleotides) under uncultured fungus. RNAcentral's name for it is "eukaryotic LSU rRNA". The stretch from base 206 to 360 matches the Rfam family "5.8S ribosomal RNA". The record is from RNAcentral. Lineage: Eukaryota; Fungi.